GGAAAGAAGGGAGGGUUUAAACACAACCGAAACUAAAUACAAAGCUGCAAAUUAAAUCUGAACAAACCGUUCCCAGAGAAGAGCAACUUCUGAGAAGAGAGAAAUAAGGGUUCCAGGAUGACUUUGACCUUGGAAAGUUGUUCUUUCAUCGUUGGGAUCGAAGGGCUGAAAAUUGUAUUUGCAGGUUUGACUUUAACCUCCACUACUGCCAUUAUAGGAGUAGUGGGAGUUGUCGCAUACAAAAUGGUGGGAAAAGAAAAGCCAAAAAGGGACCUGAUUAUAGAGGAUCAUUUAGUCCUCUAUAUUUACCUGUGAAAAUAUAAAUGGAAGCUUGACAAUAAAACCAAAGAUGGCAGACUAUUUUUAUCUGACUAAAUAGCUGCAAUAACUGCACUUUGAACACACCCUUUGAUCUAUUGUUACAUGCAAACUUGCUGCCCUGGGAAAAUACUAUCUGAAGGAAAGCACAAAGUAGUUUAAAGUUUUAUCUUUAUGCAUCAAGAAAGUUUGAGACUCUACUUAUCUUUAGUAUAGGACACAUUUUGUUUAAGUAUCUUGUUCAAAAAUUACUCAUUCUGACUGAGCGCACUCUGGCAUGGUGUUUAGAAGCACGACUGUCUUAGGUGCCAAAUAAGUUAUUAUCAGAAGAAACACUAAGGACGUGGCCUUUGUAUAAUGAAGUCUAUUUUCAAAGGGCUUACUAAACCGAAUGAUGUUAAUGCAUCCCACAAAUCUAGUUCUCAUAAGAGUUAAAUAUAUAAAUGAUAUGCUCAACCAAUAGAUUGAGACGCCCCGUUAAUAGGAACCAAACAUACAACUUCACAUUACAUAUUUUCUUGGAAUAUUGCUAUUAAGAGAGCAAUAGAUGAUCAAGGAUGGCUUUAGCUGGGUUCUGUAAAUGGGGUUUUGGUACUAAAGGGGAUAGGGUGCAUAUAUAUAGUUGAGUGAUAAAGUGACAGAUAGUUAAAAAAAAAAAAAGGUACCAAAGCAAUAGUAUACAUAUAUUGCCACUGUGGUCAUUCUUCUCUGUGGUUAGUCACAUAUUUGGGGAAAUUAUGGUUUCAAUGUCCUUUUUUUACAUAACGUUUUUGAGUUCAGUCAAGUUGUUUAAUCAAAACUGUUUAGUGGAAAAGUUAAAAGACUUUCGUUUUAUUGUCUGUAAACUUACAUUUUUUUUUUUUCACUGCGUAUCAUCAUUUAUUGGAUUAAGGCAGAUUUAAGACUGUGAUUCUAAAAUGAAUGGAUACAAGAAACACCCAAAAAUUGCUUUUAUACUGAUAACUUACUGUCAGUGGAAUGAAUUCGACAAGACAACUGUCAUCUCACCGGAGCCAAGCAACAACUGCUGAAACAAACAAAAGGCUUUACUCAAGAGGAGGAUUCUAAUCCAACAGGAAGUCCA
Long non-coding RNA from Gymnodraco acuticeps, 1402 nucleotides. RefSeq lists it as uncharacterized. The transcript has 3 exons. Lineage: Eukaryota; Metazoa; Chordata; Actinopteri; Perciformes; Bathydraconidae. The record is from RefSeq and is a predicted model, not a curated record.